AUGGCUUCAAAUGAACCUUCUUAUUGGACACUGAGAAGAAAAGCAAAGGACAAGGUGGAUCAACAACUGCAGACAAUACAGGCAACAACUUGUGGGAAGGAAUUGGGUUUGAUGCACAGUAACACCUGUCAAGGUCAAAAUGAUGAUGAUGAAGAAACAUUUAUGGACUGUCUCUCUCAUGUUGAUGAGACUGAAGAUAGAAGUGUUCCUGAUGACAGUGAAUCAGACACAGAAUCAGAAUCAGAAUCUGAUCCAAAUUCCCUAGAAGAUGAUUUGGCAUCCUGGGCUACUGAACACAAAAUUACACAUGUGGCAUUGAAUUCACUGCUCAACAUUCUACAGCUACACAGUUUAAAUCUGCCAAAAGACUCGAGGACACUGCUAGGGACUGUGCGUUUGAACCCUAAAAUACAAGACAAGGCUGGUGGCCAGUAUUACCAUUUUGGAGUGCUGAAUUCAAUUGCAGAGGUGCUACAUCAGAAUGUUGACAUUCUGCGCAACAUUCACACGUUGGAGCUUCAGGUCAGCAUUGAUGGUUUGCCCCUCUAUAAGAGCUCCGCAACACAGUUCUGGCCCAUCCUAGGGACACUGCAAAACAUCAAACAAGAGGAACCAGUGACAAUAGGUUUAUUUUGUGGCACAAGUAAACCUACAUCCCUAGCUGAGUACCUUCAAGAAUUCAUCUCUGAAGUAAAUGAAUUAGCCAAAGGAUUUGAAUUUGAAGGAGUGAUGUUAACUUUACUACUCUCUUCGAUGGUCUGCGAUGCACCUGCCCGUGCAUUCCUGAAAAAUGUUAAAGGUCACACAGGCUAUCACGGAUGUGAAAAAUGCACACAGGAUGGUUUGUACCUAGAAAAUAGAAUGACAUUUCCAAGAAUUGACAUGCCUUUAAGAACUAAUGAGAGUUUCAGAAACAAGACAGAUGCUGAUCAUCAUCAUGGUCCAUCACCUCUUGAAGAAACAUCCCUAAACAUGGUCUCUGGUUUCCCCCUCGACUACAUGCACCUUGUGUGCCUCGGAAUCAUGAGACGGCUUCUUCUCUUGUGGCUGAAGAUGGGUCCUCUGACUUGUAGGCUGUCAGGAUUUCAAAUAAACACAUUGUCAGAAAGACUGUUAAAUGCUCGGAGAAAUGUGCCCAUGGAGUUUGCACGGAAACCAAGGGCACUGAGAGAAAUUGAUAGGUGGAAGGCAACAGAGUUCAGGCAGUUUUUACUGUAUACCGGACCUGUCAUGAUGAAAGAUCUUCUUAACACAGAGGUGUACAAAAAUUUCUUGCUACUUUUUGUGGGAAUCUUCAUCCUGUGCAACAACAGUUUGAUUGAAGAAUACUGUGAUUAUGCUAAUGACAUACUGGUGCUCUUUGUCACUCACUUUGGUCAACUGUAUGGUCCACAAUUCUUGUCCUACAAUGCACACUGCCUUGUACAUCUUGCAGAUGAUGCGAAAAAGCAUGGUGUCCUUGACAACUUCAGUGCUUUCAAGUACGAGAAUCACCUAAACAAACUCAAAAGACUUCUGAGGAAACCAACAUGCCCUCUGAGUCAAAUAAUAGAAAGAUUCUCAGAAAUGCAAAGAUGCUGCAAAAAAACUCACAAAACCAGGCCACAUCUGCUCAAAAAAACCACAUGCGACUGGUCCUCUACCUGCAUCCCUUCAUGA
Molecule: long non-coding RNA, 1659 nt
Organism: Cyprinus carpio (common carp)
Lineage: Eukaryota; Metazoa; Chordata; Actinopteri; Cypriniformes; Cyprinidae
Source: Ensembl